AACGAACGCUGGCGGCAUGCCUAACACAUGCAAGUCGAACGAGACCUUCGGGUCUAGUGGCGCACGGGUGCGUAACGCGUGGGAACCUGCCCUUAGGUUCGGAAUAACUCCCCGAAAGGGGUGCUAAUACCGGAUAAUGUCUUCGGACCAAAGAUUUAUCGCCUUUGGAUGGGCCCGCGUUGGAUUAGCUAGUUGGUAGGGUAAAAGCCUACCAAGGCGACGAUCCAUAGCUGGUCUGAGAGGAUGAUCAGCCACACUGGGACUGGGACACGGCCCAGACUACUACGGGAGGCAGCAGUGGGGAAUAUUGGACAAUGGGCGAAAGCCUGAUCCAGCAAUGCCGCGUGAGUGAUGAAGGCCUUAGGGUUGUAAAGCUCUUUUACCCGGGAUGAUAAUGACAGUACCGGGAGAAUAAGCUCCGGCUAACUCCGUG
RNAcentral lists this ribosomal RNA (433 nucleotides) under uncultured bacterium. RNAcentral's name for it is "partial 16S ribosomal RNA". It matches the Rfam family "Bacterial small subunit ribosomal RNA", at positions 29 to 507 of the family's 1533-position model. The record is from RNAcentral.